GAUGAAGAACGUAGCGAAAUGCGAUAAGUAAUGCGAAUUGCAGAAUUCAGUGAAUCAUCGAAUCUUUGAACGCACCUUGCGCCCUUUGGCCAUUCCGAAGGGCAUGCCUGUUUGAGUAUCAUGAACACCUCAACUCUCAUGGCUCGCCAUGAUGAGCUUGGAUUUGGGGGUCUUGCUGGCCUGUGGUCGGCUCCUCUCAAAUGGAUCAGCUUGCCAGUGUUUGGUGGCAUCACAGGUGUGAUAACUAUCUGCGCUUGUGGUUUUCCAUCAGAUAACCUUCAGUGAUGGAGGUUCGCUGGAGCUCAUAAACGUCUCCCCUAAGCGGGGACAGCCCUUUGAAUGUUUGAUCUCAAAUCAGGUAGGACUACCCGCUGAACUUAAGCAUAUCAAUAAGCGGAGGA
This 401-nucleotide unclassified non-coding RNA is filed under the name soil metagenome. RNAcentral describes it as "partial contains 5.8S ribosomal RNA, internal transcribed spacer 2, and large subunit ribosomal RNA". The stretch from base 1 to 121 matches the Rfam family "5.8S ribosomal RNA", at positions 35 to 154 of the family's 154-position model. The record is from RNAcentral.